CCUACGGGUGGCAGCAGUGGGGAAUAUUGGGCAAUGGGCGCAAGCCUGACCCAGCAACGCCGCGUGAAGGAAGACGGCCCUCGGGUUGUAAACUUCUUUUAUCAAGGACGAAACAAAUGACGGUACUUGAUGAAUAAGCCACGGCUAACUACGGGCCAGCAGCCGCGGUAAUACGUCGGUGGCAAGCGUUAUCCGGAUUUACUGGGUGUAAAGGGCGUGUAGGCGGGACUGCAAGUCAGAUGGGAAAACCAUGGGCUCAACCCAUGGCCUGCCUUUGAAACUGUAGUUCUUGAGUGUGGGAGAGGCAGGCGGAAUGCCGGGUGUAGCGGUGAAAUGCAUAGAUAUACGGCGGAACACCAGUGGCGAAGGCAGCCUGCUGGACAAUAACUGACGCUGAGGCGCGAAAGCGUGGGGAGCGAACAGGAUUAGAUACCCGGGUAGUC
This 443-nucleotide ribosomal RNA is filed under the name uncultured bacterium. Its description in RNAcentral is "partial 16S ribosomal RNA". It matches the Rfam family "Bacterial small subunit ribosomal RNA", at positions 338 to 795 of the family's 1533-position model. The record is from RNAcentral.